RNAcentral lists this RNase P RNA (384 nucleotides) under Rhodospirillaceae bacterium. RNAcentral describes it as "RNase P RNA component class A". It matches the Rfam family "Bacterial RNase P class A". From Rfam's summary of the family: Ribonuclease P (RNase P) is a ubiquitous endoribonuclease, found in archaea, bacteria and eukarya as well as chloroplasts and mitochondria. Its best characterised activity is the generation of mature 5'-ends of tRNAs by cleaving the 5'-leader elements of precursor-tRNAs. The record is from RNAcentral. Lineage: Bacteria; Pseudomonadati; Pseudomonadota; Alphaproteobacteria; Rhodospirillales; Rhodospirillaceae.
CCAGACGGCCGGAUAGCCGCGGUCAGCAAUGAUCGAGGAAAGUCCGGGCUCCACGGAAACAAGGUGCCGGCUAACGGCCGGCGGGGGCGACCCCAGAGACAGUGCAACAGAAAGCAAACCGCCUUGGCUUGCCAAGGUAAGGGUGAAAGGGUGCGGUAAGAGCGCACCGCGCGGCUGGUAACAGUCGUGGCACGGUAAACCUCACCUGGAGCAAGACCAAAUAGGGAUGGCCGGUUGGGCAAGCUUGCUUGUGCCAACAGAUGCGUUUCCGCAUCGUCGUCCGGGUCGGUCGCGCGAGGUGCUUGGCAACAAGCACCCCAGAGGAAUGGCUAUCCAUGGGCUUUAAGCCCAGGACAGAACCCGGCUUAUAGGCCGUCUGGCACC